CAAUGUCACCGUCGUACGGGUGCGUAACGCGUAUGCAACCUACCUUCAACCGGGGGAUAGCCCGGGGAAACCCGGAUUAAUACCACAUGAUACAGUGAAUUCACAUGGAUUUAUUUGUUAAAGAUUUAUUGGUUGAAGAUGGGCAUGCGUUCGAUUAGCUAGUUGGCAGGGUAACGGCCUACCAAGGCCACGAUCGGUAGGGGAGCUGAGAGGUUGAUCCCCCACACGGGCACUGAGAUACGGGCCCGACUCCUACGGGAGGCAGCAGUAGGGAAUAUUGGGCAAUGGAUGCAAGUCUGACCCAGCCAUGCCGCGUGCCGGAUGAAGGCCCUCAGGGUUGUAAACGGCUUUUAUUCGGGAAGAAGAAUGGGGAUGCGUCCCUUAGUGACGGUACCGAAUGAAUAAGCACCGGCUAACUCCGUGCCAGCAGCCGCGGUAAUACGGAG
Molecule: ribosomal RNA, 446 nt
Filed under: uncultured Dyadobacter sp.
Lineage: Bacteria; Pseudomonadati; Bacteroidota; Cytophagia; Cytophagales; Spirosomataceae
Description: bacterial SSU rRNA
Rfam family: Bacterial small subunit ribosomal RNA
Source: RNAcentral